AGAGUUUGAUCCUGGCUCAGGACGAACGCUGGCGGCGUGCCUAAUACAUGCAAGUCGAACGAGAGCGACCGGUGCUUGCACUGGUCAAUCUAGUGGCGAACGGGUGAGUAACACGUGGGUAACCUGCCCAUCAGAGGGGGAUAACAUUCGGAAACGGAUGCUAAAACCGCAUAGGUCUUCGAACCGCAUGGUUUGAAGAGGAAAAGAGGCGCAAGCUUCUGCUGAUGGAUGGACCCGCGGUGCAUUAGCUAGUUGGUGAGGUAACGGCUCACCAAGGCCGUGAUGCAUAGCCGACCUGAGAGGGUGAUCGGCCACAUUGGGACUGAGACACGGCCCAAACUCCUACGGGAGGCAGCAGUAGGGAAUCUUCCGCAAUGGACGCAAGUCUGACGGAGCAACGCCGCGUGAGUGAAGAAGGUUUUCGGAUCGUAAAACUCUGUUGUUAGAGAAGAACAAGUGCUAGAGUAACUGUUAGCACCUUGACGGUAUCUAACCAGAAAGCCACGGCUAACUACGUGCCAGCAGCCGCGGUAAUACGUAGGUGGCAAGCGUUGUCCGGAUUUAUUGGGCGUAAAGCGAGCGCAGGCGGUUCCUUAAGUCUGAUGUGAAAGCCCCCGGCUCAACCGGGGAGGGUCAUUGGAAACUGGGGAACUUGAGUGCAGAAGAGGAGAGUGGAAUUCCAUGUGUAGCGGUGAAAUGCGUAGAUAUAUGGAGGAACACCAGUGGCGAAGGCGACUCUCUGGUCUGUAACUGACGCUGAGGCUCGAAAGCGUGGGUAGCAAACAGGAUUAGAUACCCUGGUAGUCCACGCCGUAAACGAUGAGUGCUAAGUGUUGGAGGGUUUCCGCCCUUCAGUGCUGCAGUUAACGCAUUAAGCACUCCGCCUGGGGAGUACGACCGCAAGGUUGAAACUCAAAGGAAUUGACGGG
This 929-nucleotide ribosomal RNA is filed under the name uncultured bacterium. RNAcentral describes it as "bacterial SSU rRNA". It matches the Rfam family "Bacterial small subunit ribosomal RNA", at positions 8 to 917 of the family's 1533-position model. The record is from RNAcentral.